CUUUCUAAAGUUGUAAAAUUCCUUUGGAUUUUUGAGUAAAACCUUCGAACUUCCGGCGAUGUUAAGGCCCUGUCACACUAUUGCGUAUGAGAGAAACGUAUGAGAAGCGUAUGAAAAUUAAUGACAUAAUUUUCAUACGCACAAAAAUCCUUUGAAAUGCCAGCGUAUGAGUACCGUACAUCUGGCGUACGUACCUCUAGCGUAUUCAGCGUGUGCCUAGAGUAUGCUUAUCGUAUAAAGCAUACGUCCGAUACGCACAAAAUUUUUGAGCAUGCUUAAAAAAACUUUUCUGCCUCGCCGUAUACCAGCGUAUGCCACCGUACGCGACCGUGCUUGAAACGUAUACAACCUAUGCCUAACGUACCCCUAGCGUAUGUCAGCGUAUACCGGCGUAUGAGUCGGAUAUUUUUCAUACGCUGGCACUGAUAUGAUCGCGGACGAGGGUCACCGAACGCCAGGGAUAAAUUGACUACCGCAA
Non-coding RNA from Paramuricea clavata, 478 nucleotides. Lineage: Eukaryota; Metazoa; Cnidaria; Anthozoa; Malacalcyonacea; Plexauridae. The record is from the annotation of a GenBank genome assembly.